This 253-nucleotide ribosomal RNA is filed under the name uncultured bacterium. RNAcentral's name for it is "partial 16S ribosomal RNA". It matches the Rfam family "Bacterial small subunit ribosomal RNA", at positions 524 to 776 of the family's 1533-position model. The record is from RNAcentral.
UACGUAGGUGGCAAGCGUUGUCCGGAAUUGUUGGGCGUAAAGCGCGCGCAGGCGGUCCUUUAAGUCUGAUGUGAAAUCCCACGGCUCAACCGUGGAAGGUCAUUGGAAACUGGGGGACUUGAGUACAGAAGAGGAAAGCGGAAUUCCAAGUGUGGCGGUGAAAUGCGUAGAGAUUUGGAGGAACACCAGUGGCGAAGGCGGCUUUCUGGUCUGUAACUGACGCUGAGGCGCGAAAGCGUGGGGAGCAAACAGG